UAGAGGUAUAUGCGUCAAGUGUCAACUGGUUAGUGGAUGAUUAGUUGAACGAACAUAAGUAUUUAUGGCGGUGUAUAUUUCUGAUCCG
RNAcentral lists this non-coding RNA (88 nucleotides) under Acholeplasma laidlawii. RNAcentral describes it as "THF-I sequence". It matches the Rfam family "THF (Tetrahydrofolate) riboswitch aptamer", at positions 8 to 94 of the family's 99-position model. From Rfam's summary of the family: THF riboswitch presents a pseudoknot that joins P1-P2 and the loop of P3 and two THF binding. The record is from RNAcentral. Lineage: Bacteria; Bacillati; Mycoplasmatota; Mollicutes; Acholeplasmatales; Acholeplasmataceae. RNAcentral also lists the same sequence under 1 other name.